GCAUCUGAGAUGGCAACG
Molecule: unclassified non-coding RNA, 18 nt
Filed under: Mus musculus (house mouse)
Lineage: Eukaryota; Metazoa; Chordata; Mammalia; Rodentia; Muridae
Description: oocyte_clustered_small_RNA9658
Source: RNAcentral